CAGUAGCCGCGGUAAAACGUAGGUGGCAAGCGUUGUCCGGAAUUACUGGGCGUAAAGCGCACGUAGGCGGCUUUGUAAGUUAGAGGUGAAAGCCCGGAGCUCAACUCCGGAAUUGCCUUUAAGACUGCAGAGCUAGCAGGUGAGAGAGGUGAGUGGAAUUCCGGGUGUAGAGGUGGGAUUCGUAGAUAUUCGGAAGAACACCAGUGGCGAAGGCGGCUCACUGGCUCAUACUGGACGCUGAGGUGCGAAAGCGUGGGGAGCAAACAGGAUUAGAUACCCCGGUAGUCCCUGUCUCUUAUAC
Molecule: ribosomal RNA, 301 nt
Filed under: uncultured bacterium
Lineage: Bacteria
Description: partial 16S ribosomal RNA
Rfam family: Bacterial small subunit ribosomal RNA
Source: RNAcentral